GGGUCAGUAGGUUGGUCGUGCCACCGGUACGUACUGGCCUCACUGAUUCCUCCUUCCUGAAGAACCGUAAUGCCAUUAAUUUGGUGUUGCGGGGAAACAGGACUGUUACUUUGAAAAAAUUAGAGUGUUUAAAGCAAGCUAACGCUUGAAUACAUUAGCAUGGAAUAAUGAAAUAGGACGAUUGAUCCUAUUUUGCUGGUUUCUAGGAUUGACGUA
Molecule: ribosomal RNA, 216 nt
Filed under: Glomeromycotina sp.
Lineage: Eukaryota; Fungi; Glomeromycota
Description: partial small subunit ribosomal RNA
Rfam family: Eukaryotic small subunit ribosomal RNA (bases 40-216)
Source: RNAcentral